AACGAACGCUGGCGGCAGGCCUAACACAUGCAAGUCGAACGCCCCUUCGGGGGAGUGGCAAACGGGUGAGUAACGCGUGGGAACCUUCCCUGUGGUACGGAAUAGCUCCGGGAAACUGGAAUUAAUACCGUAUACGCCCUUCGGGGGAAAGAUUUAUCGCCAUAGGAUGGGCCCGCGUCGGAUUAGCUAGUUGGUGAGGUAACGGCUCACCAAGGCUCCGAUCCGUAGCUGGUCUUAGAGGAUGAUCAGCCACACUGGGACUGCGACACGGCCCAGACUCCUACGGGAGGCAGCAGUGGGGAAUAUUGGACAAUGGGCGAAAGCCUGAUCCAGCCAUGCCGCGUGAGUGACGAAGGCCUUAGGGUUGUAAAGCUCUUUUGGCGGGGACGAUAAUGACGGUACCCGCAGAAUAAGCCCCGGCUAACUUCG
Molecule: ribosomal RNA, 429 nt
Filed under: uncultured Hyphomicrobiaceae bacterium
Lineage: Bacteria; Pseudomonadati; Pseudomonadota; Alphaproteobacteria; Hyphomicrobiales; Hyphomicrobiaceae
Description: bacterial SSU rRNA
Rfam family: Bacterial small subunit ribosomal RNA
Source: RNAcentral